GGGGAAUAUUGCACAAUGGGGGAAACCCUGAUGCAGCGACGCCGCGUGGAGGAAGAAGGUCUUCGGAUUGUAAACUCCUGUUGUUGGGGAAGAUAAUGACGGUACCCAACAAGGAAGUGACGGCUAACUACGUGCCAGCAGCCGCGGUAAAACGUAGGUCACAAGCGUUGUCCGGAAUUACUGGGUGUAAAGGGAGCGCAGGCGGGAAGACAAGUUGGAAGUGAAAUCUAUGGGCUCAACCCAUAAACUGCUUUCAAAACUGUUUUUCUUGAGUAGUGCAGAGGUAGGCGGAAUUCCCGGUGUAGCGGUGGAAUGCGUAGAUAUCGGGAGGAACACCAGUGGCGAAGGCGGCCUACUGGGCACCAACUGACGCUGAGGCUCGAAAGUGUGGGUAGCAAACAGGAUUAGAUACCCUGGUAGUCCACACCGUAAACGAUGAUUACUAGGUGUUGGAGGAUUGACCCCUUCAGUGCCGCAGUUAACACAAUAAGUAAUCCACCUGGGGAGUACGACCGCAAGGUUGAAACUCAAAGGAAUUGACGGGGGCCCGCACAAGCAGUGGAGUAUGUGGUUUAAUUCGACGCAACGCGAAGAACCUUACCAAGUCUUGACAUCCCUUGACAGACAUAGAAAUAUGUUUUCUCUUCGGAGCAAGGAGACAGGUGGUGCAUGGUUGUCGUCAGCUCGUGUCGUGAGAUGUUGGGUUAAGUCCCGCAACGAGCGCAACCCUUAUGGUCAGUUACUACGCAAGAGGACUCUGGCCAGACUGCCGUUGACAAAACGGAGGAAGGUGGGGAUGACGUCAAAUCAUCAUGCCCUUUAUGACUUGGGCUACACACGUACUACAAUGGCGUUAAACAAAGAGAAGCAAGACCGCGAGGUGGAGCAAAACUCAGAAACAACGUCCCAGUUCGGACUGCAGGCUGCAACUCGCCUGCACGAAGUCGGAAUUGCUAGUAAUCGUGGAUCAGCAUGCCACGGUGAAUACGUUCCCG
RNAcentral lists this ribosomal RNA (995 nucleotides) under uncultured bacterium. Its description in RNAcentral is "bacterial SSU rRNA". It matches the Rfam family "Bacterial small subunit ribosomal RNA", at positions 356 to 1376 of the family's 1533-position model. The record is from RNAcentral.